AGCGAACGCUGGCGGCAGGCCUAACACAUGCAAGUCGAACGGAUCCUUCGGGAUUAGUGGCGGACGGGAGAGGCACACGUGGGAACGUUCCCUUUUGGUCGGAACAACUCAGGGAAACUUGAGCUAAUACCGAAUGUGCCCUUCUGCGGCAAGAUUUAUCUCCAUUGAAGCGGCCCGCUUCUGAUUUGCAAGUUGGUGAGGUAACGGCCCACCCAGGUGAUGUUCAGUAGCUGGUCUGAGAGGAUGAUCAGCAACACUGGGACUGAGACACGGCCCAGACUCCUACGGGAGGCAGCAGUGGGGAAUCUUGCGCAAUGGGCGAAAGCCUGACGCAGUCAUGCCGCGUGAAUGAUGAAGGUCUUAGGAUUGUAAAAUUCUUUCAGCGGGGACGAUAAUGACGGUACCCGCAGAAGAAGCGCCGGCUAACUUCGUG
RNAcentral lists this ribosomal RNA (433 nucleotides) under uncultured bacterium. Its description in RNAcentral is "partial 16S ribosomal RNA". It matches the Rfam family "Bacterial small subunit ribosomal RNA", at positions 29 to 507 of the family's 1533-position model. The record is from RNAcentral.